GCGGGGGUUGCCAAGCCAGGUCAAAGGCGCAGGGCUUAGGACCCUGUCUCGCAGGAGUUCGCGAGUUCAAAUCUCGUCCCCCGCA
The sequence is a transfer RNA, 85 nucleotides long. It matches the Rfam family "tRNA". From Rfam's summary of the family: Transfer RNA (tRNA) molecules are approximately 80 nucleotides in length. The record is from Rfam.